UUGACAAUACAAGGUAUUGUAAUAAGGUUUUAAUUGAAUGCUAAAAGAAUGGAAUUACAGGGAAAAGUUUUUUUAAAUUUAAUAAUUGAAGUUAUUUUAAUUUGUGAAGAAACAAUUAUAUAAAUUAAAGACAAGAAGACCCUAAGAAUUUAAGAAUUUUUAUUAAUAUAUUAUAUGUAUAUAUAUAUAUAAAUAAAAUUCUUAGUUGGGGCAACUAAAAAAUAUAUUAAACUUUUUUUUUAAAAAAAUGACCCAUUAUUAAUGAUAAUAUGAAAAAAAUACUCUAGGGAUAACAGCGUAAUAAUUUUUGAUAGAUCUUAUAGACAAAAUAGUUUGCGACCUCGAUGUUGGAUUAGGAUACUUUUUUAAUGAAGAUGUUAAAAAAAGAAGUUUGUUCAACUUUUAAAUUCCUACAUGAUCUGAGUUUAGACCGAUGAGAAUGAGG
RNAcentral lists this ribosomal RNA (445 nucleotides) under Dermacentor nuttalli. Its description in RNAcentral is "partial large subunit ribosomal RNA". The stretch from base 289 to 445 matches the Rfam family "Bacterial large subunit ribosomal RNA", at positions 2473 to 2630 of the family's 2925-position model. Lineage: Eukaryota; Metazoa; Arthropoda; Arachnida; Ixodida; Ixodidae. The record is from RNAcentral.